Molecule: ribosomal RNA, 714 nt
Filed under: uncultured bacterium
Lineage: Bacteria
Description: bacterial SSU rRNA
Rfam family: Bacterial small subunit ribosomal RNA
Source: RNAcentral
ACAGAGAUAGCUUGCUAUCUGCUGACGAGCGGCGGACGGGUGAGUAAUGCUUGGGAAUAUGCCUUAUGGUGGGGGACAACAGUUGGAAACGACUGCUAAUACCGCAUAACGUCUACGGACCAAAGGGGGGGAUGCUUCGGCACCUCCCGCCAUUUGAUUAGCCCAAGUGAGAUUAGCUAGUAGGUGAGGUAAUAGCUCACCUAGGCGACGAUCUCUAGCUGGUUUGAGAGGAUGAUCAGCCACACUGGGACUGAGACACGGCCCAGACUCCUACGGGAGGCAGCAGUGGGGAAUAUUGCACAAUGGGCGAAAGCCUGAUGCAGCCAUGCCGCGUGUGUGAAGAAGGCCUUCGGGUUGUAAAGCACUUUCAGCGAGGAGGAAAGGUUAGUGGUUAAUAGCCACUAGCUGUGACGUUACUCGCAGAAGAAGCACCGGCUAACUUCGUGCCAGCAGCCGCGGUAAUACGAGGGGUGCAAGCGUUAAUCGGAAUUACUGGGCGUAAAGCGUGCGUAGGUGGUUUGUUAAGCAAGAUGUGAAAGCCCUGGGCUCAACCUGGGAACUGCAUUUUGAACUGGCAAGCUAGAGUUUUGUAGAGGGUAGUGGAAUUUCCAGUGUAGCGGUGAAAUGCGUAGAGAUUGGAAGGAACAUCAGUGGCGAAGGCGGCUACCUGGACAAAGACUGACACUGAGGCACGAAAGCGUGGGGAGCAAACAG